RNAcentral lists this ribosomal RNA (229 nucleotides) under uncultured bacterium. Its description in RNAcentral is "partial 16S ribosomal RNA". It matches the Rfam family "Bacterial small subunit ribosomal RNA", at positions 568 to 796 of the family's 1533-position model. The record is from RNAcentral.
CGCGCAGGCGGAAUAAUAAGUCAGUGGUGAAAUCUCCCGGCUCAACCGGGAAACUGCCAUUGAUACUGUUGUUCUUGAGUACAGUUGAAGUGGGCGGAAUGUGUCAUGUAGCGGUGAAAUGCUUAGAUAUGACACAGAACACCGAUAGCGAAGGCAGCUCACUAAGCUGUAACUGACGCUCAUGCACGAAAGCGUGGGGAUCAAACAGGAUUAGAUACCCUGGUAGUCC